AGUAGGAUAGCUGGGUCAAAUGGUGGUUCCAUUCCAACUUUUUAAAGGAAUCUCCAUACUGCUUUCCAGAGUGGUUGUACCAAUUUGCAAUCCCACCAGCAAU
Molecule: microRNA precursor, 103 nt
Filed under: Marmota monax (woodchuck)
Lineage: Eukaryota; Metazoa; Chordata; Mammalia; Rodentia; Sciuridae
Source: RNAcentral